RNAcentral lists this ribosomal RNA (495 nucleotides) under uncultured bacterium. RNAcentral describes it as "partial 16S ribosomal RNA". It matches the Rfam family "Bacterial small subunit ribosomal RNA", at positions 28 to 507 of the family's 1533-position model. The record is from RNAcentral.
GAUGAACGCUGGCGGCGUGCCUAAUACAUGCAAGUAGAACGCUGAAGGAGGAGCUUGCUCUUCUGGAUGAGUUGCGAACGGGUGAGUAACGCGUAGGUAACCUGCCUGGUAGCGGGGGAUAACUAUUGGAAACGAUAGCUAAUACCGCAUGACAACAGUUAUUGCAUGAUAACUGUUUAAAAGGGGCAACUGCUCCACUACCAGAUGGACCUGCGUUGUAUUAGCUAGUUGGUGAGGUAACGGCUCACCAAGGCGACGAUACAUAGCCGACCUGAGAGGGUGAUCGGCCACACUGGGACUGAGACACGGCCCAGACUCCUACGGGAGGCAGCAGUAGGGAAUCUUCGGCAAUGGACGGAAGUCUGACCGAGCAACGCCGCGUGAGUGAAGAAGGUUUUCGGAUCGUAAAGCUCUGUUGUAAGAGAAGAACGCGUGUGAGAGUGGAAAGUUCACACUGUGACGGUAUCUUACCAGAAAGGGACGGCUAACUACGUG